This 497-nucleotide ribosomal RNA is filed under the name uncultured bacterium. RNAcentral's name for it is "partial 16S ribosomal RNA". It matches the Rfam family "Bacterial small subunit ribosomal RNA", at positions 28 to 507 of the family's 1533-position model. The record is from RNAcentral.
GAUGAACGCUGGCGGCGUGCCUAAUACAUGCAAGUCGAGCGAACAGACGAGGAGCUUGCUCCUCUGACGUUAGCGGCGGACGGGUGAGUAACACGUGGAUAACCUACCUAUAAGACUGGGAUAACUUCGGGAAACCGGAGCUAAUACCGGAUAAUAUAUUGAACCGCAUGGCUCAAUAGUGAAAGACGGUUUUGCUGUCACUUAUAGAUGGAUCCGCGCCGCAUUAGCUAGUUGGUAAGGUAACGGCUUACCAAGGCAACGAUGCGUAGCCGACCUGAGAGGGUGAUCGGCCACACUGGAACUGAGACACGGUCCAGACUCCUACGGGAGGCAGCAGUAGGGAAUCUUCCGCAAUGGGCGAAAGCCUGACGGAGCAACGCCGCGUGAGUGAUGAAGGUGUUCGGAUCGUAAAACUCUGUUAUUAGGGAAGAACAAAUGUGUAAGUAACUAUGCACGUCUUGACGGUACCUAAUCAGAAAGCCACGGCUAACUACGUG